Molecule: ribosomal RNA, 375 nt
Filed under: uncultured eukaryote
Lineage: Eukaryota
Description: partial 18S ribosomal RNA
Rfam family: Eukaryotic small subunit ribosomal RNA
Source: RNAcentral
CAAUAGCGUAUAUUUAAGUUGUUGCAGUUAAAAAGCUCGUAGUUGGAUUUCGGUUAAGAGCGACCGGUCCGCCGUUUGGUGUGCACUGGUUGGUUUUAACUUCCUGUAGAGGACGUGCUCUGGGUUUAACGACCUGGACUCGGAGUCUACGUGGUUACUUUGAAAAAAUUAGAGUGUUCAAAGCGGGCUUACGCUUGAAUAUUUCAGCAUGGAAUAACACUAUAGGACUCCUGUCCUAUUUCGUUGGUCUCGGGACGGGAGUAGUGAUUAAGAGGAACAGUUGGGGGCAUUCGUAUUUCAUUGUCAGAGGUGAAAUUCUUGGAUUUAUGAAAGACGAACUUCUGCGAAAGCAUUUGCCAAGGAUGUUUNCAUUAA